CCCUUAGAUGUUCUGGGCCGCACGCGUGCUACACUGAGUAAUUCAAUGGGUAAGGGAACGCUAGAGCAUUACCUAAUCUUGAAAUUUGCUCGUGAUGGGGAUCGACGGUUGCAAUUUUCCGUCGUGAACGAGGAAUACCUUAUAGGCGCAUGUCAUCAUCAUGCGCCGAAUACGUCCCUGCCCUUUGUACACACCGCCCGUCGCUCCUACCGAUUGAGUGAUCCGGUGAGGCUCUGGGACCUGGACGGAAAGAGCGUUUCGCUUGUUCUGUUUGGGAAACUUGGUCGAACCUUAUCAUUUAGAGGAAGGAGAAGUCGUAACA
This 322-nucleotide ribosomal RNA is filed under the name uncultured eukaryote. RNAcentral describes it as "partial 18S ribosomal RNA". It matches the Rfam family "Eukaryotic small subunit ribosomal RNA", at positions 1470 to 1796 of the family's 1831-position model. The record is from RNAcentral.